This 253-nucleotide ribosomal RNA is filed under the name uncultured bacterium. RNAcentral describes it as "partial 16S ribosomal RNA". It matches the Rfam family "Bacterial small subunit ribosomal RNA", at positions 524 to 776 of the family's 1533-position model. The record is from RNAcentral.
UACGGAGGGUGCAAGCGUUAUCCGGAUUCACUGGGUUUAAAGGGUGCGUAGGAGGGCAGGUAAGUCAGUGGUGAAAUCUCCAAGCUUAACUUGGAAACUGCCGUUGAUACUAUCUGUCUUGAAUAUUGUGGAGGUGAGCGGAAUAUGUCAUGUAGCGGUGAAAUGCUUAGAUAUGACAUAGAACACCAAUUGCGAAGGCAGCUUACUACACAAAUAUUGACGCUGAGGCACGAAAGCGUGGGGAUCAAACAGG